This 575-nucleotide ribosomal RNA is filed under the name uncultured bacterium. RNAcentral describes it as "partial 16S ribosomal RNA". It matches the Rfam family "Bacterial small subunit ribosomal RNA", at positions 355 to 926 of the family's 1533-position model. The record is from RNAcentral.
UGGGGAAUUUUGGACAAUGGGCGAAAGCCUGAUCCAGCAAUGCCGCGUGUGUGAAGAAGGCCUUCGGGUUGUAAAGCACUUUUGUCCGGAAAGAAAUCCUUGGCUCUAAUACAGUCGGGGGAUGACGGUACCGGAAGAAUAAGCACCGGCUAACUACGUGCCAGCAGCCGCGGUAAUACGUAGGGUGCAAGCGUUAAUCGGAAUUACUGGGCGUAAAGCGUGCGCAGGCGGUUUGCUAAGACCGAUGUGAAAUCCCCGGGCUCAACCUGGGAACUGCAUUGGUGACUGGCAGGCUAGAGUAUGGCAGAGGGGGGUAGAAUUCCACGUGUAGCAGUGAAAUGCGUAGAGAUGUGGAGGAAUACCGAUGGCGAAGGCAGCCCCCUGGGCCAAUACUGACGCUCAUGCACGAAAGCGUGGGGAGCAAACAGGAUUAGAUACCCUGGUAGUCCACGCCCUAAACGAUGUCAACUAGUUGUUGGGGAUUCAUUUCCUUAGUAACGUAGCUACGCGUGAAGUUGACCGCCUGGGGAGUACGGUCGCAAGAUUAAACUCAAUGAAUUGACGGGGUCAUAGCU